RNAcentral lists this long non-coding RNA (272 nucleotides) under Elaeis guineensis (African oil palm). Its description in RNAcentral is "long non-coding RNA (EGUI_LNC062330)". The record is from RNAcentral. Lineage: Eukaryota; Viridiplantae; Streptophyta; Magnoliopsida; Arecales; Arecaceae.
AAACGGGAGGUGCCUACGGCUCGAGAAGACGAUCACUAAAGCAGGGCUCUCGAAGAGAAGACAGACACCAGCGAAAACUCAGGAAUGGAGUAGGAUGCCUAAAGGAGGGAGGACGGGUUUAAAUAGACCCUGGGAUCCGGUGCCAUAAUGAUCGCGAAUCCCCCAGGCCAGUCCGCAUCCGACACGUGUCCCACUCCCCCUGGCAGACGGCUAAAAGCGGCUGACGGUUGGCAGGAUCAUAAUUGCACCGUACCUAGGCUAGAGUACCUGCG